UACGUAGGGUCCAAGCGUUAAUCGGAAUUACUGGGCGUAAAGCGUGCGAAGGCGGUUGUGUAAGCCAGAUGUGAAAUCCCCGGGCUUAACCUGGGAAUGGCAUUUGGGACUGCACGGCUAGAGUACGGCAGAGGAGACUAGAAUUCCUGGUGUAGCAGUGAAAUGCGUAGAUAUCAGGAGGAAUACCGAUGGCGAAGGCAGGUCUCUGGGUCGAUACUGACGCUCAUGCACGAAAGCGUGGGGAGCAAACAGG
This 253-nucleotide ribosomal RNA is filed under the name uncultured bacterium. RNAcentral's name for it is "partial 16S ribosomal RNA". It matches the Rfam family "Bacterial small subunit ribosomal RNA", at positions 524 to 776 of the family's 1533-position model. The record is from RNAcentral.